CCAUGGCCCUUUUGGGGUCCCCCGUGUCCCUAUUGAAGGUCCCCAUGCCCUUAUUAGGGUCCCCCGUGUCCCUUUUGGGGUCCCCCGUGUCCCUUUUGGGGUCCCCCAUGUCCCUUUUGGAGUCUCCCGUGUCCCUACAGGGGGUUCCCGUGUCCCUUUUGGGGUCUCCCGUGUCCCUAUUGGGGGUUGCCAUGUCCCCAUUGGGAUCCCUGUGUUCCUAUUGGGGGUUGCCAUGGCCCUGGUGGGCAUCCCUGUGUCCCUAUUGGGGUCUCUAUGUCCCUAUUAGGGGUCCCUAUGCCCCUGUUGGGGGUUGCCAUAUCCCUAUUGGGGUCCCUGUGUUCCCAUUGGAGGCUGCCAUGUCCCUGAUCAUUGUCCCCACGUCCCUUUUGGGGUCCUCAUGUCCCUCUUUGAGUCUCUGUCCCCCUAUCAGGGGUCCCUGUGUCCCUGUUGGGGUCCCUGUGUAUGUAUUGGGGUCUCCUAUGACCCUACUGGGAUCUCCUAUGUCCCUAUUAGGGGUUGCCAUGUCCCCAUUGGGGUCCCUGUGUUCCGAGUGGGGGGUCCCCAUGUCCCCAUUGGGGUCCCUGUAUACAGAUUGGGGUCUCUGUGUCCCUGUAGGAGGUCCCCAUGUCCCUAAUGGGGUUCCUAUGUCUCUCUUAGGGGUUGCCGUGUCUCCAUUGGGGUCCCCCAUGUCCCCACAGGAGCCCCUGUGUUCCUCUUGGGGUCCUCAUGUCCCUAUUGGAGGUCCCCUACAUCUCCAUCGGGGUCCCCGUGUCCCUUUUGGGGGUUGCCAUGUCCCUGGUAGGCGUCCCAAUGUCCCUAGAGGGGAAGAUCCCCCCCCCCUUGUCCUUCUUGGGGUCUCCUGUGAUCCUAUUAGAGGUCCCCAUGUCCCUAGUGGGUGUUCCUAUAUCCUUAUUGGGGUCCCCGUGUUCCUGUGGGGGUUUUCAUGGCCCUGUUGAGUGUCUUUGUGUCCCUAUUGGGGCUCUCCUAUGUCUCUAUUGGGGUUCCCCUUUCCCUCUUGGGGUCUUCAUGUCCCUCUUGGGGUCCUCUUGUUCCUGUUGGGGUCUCUACAUCCCUAAUGGGAUCCUCAUGUCCCCAUAGGGUUUCCAUUGGGCUUCUCAUGUCCUUAUUGAACGUUUCCCAUGUCCCUAGUGGGGUCCCAGUGUCCCUGUGGGGAACCCCACAUCCCCAUUGGGUUCCUAUUGGGGUCCUCAUCCUAACUGAAGGACCCCAGUGUCCCUGUUGGGGUC
RNAcentral lists this long non-coding RNA (1247 nucleotides) under Numida meleagris (helmeted guineafowl). Its description in RNAcentral is "lncRNA (ENSNMEG00000004198.1)". Lineage: Eukaryota; Metazoa; Chordata; Aves; Galliformes; Numididae. The record is from RNAcentral.